Long non-coding RNA from Toxorhynchites rutilus septentrionalis, 769 nucleotides. RefSeq lists it as uncharacterized. The record is from RefSeq and is a predicted model, not a curated record. Lineage: Eukaryota; Metazoa; Arthropoda; Insecta; Diptera; Culicidae. The transcript has 3 exons.
AUCUCAAACAAAAACAAAUGGAUCAUACAACUGCUAUGAAUACAUUCGACUCGUUUGCUUCCAUCAAUCGGUAAGUGAGAAAGAUGAUUUCUCCCAUCACCACAGUACGGAUUUCCACUUCUAUCACAGCAGCCAACAACAUCCGUUUUCCUGCAGCAGUAACCUCCAACCCCUGUUGGCAAUGCCGGGGGACUACAUCAACAGCAGCAGCAGCAGAAUUUGACCAUGGUAUGGUCUUGCAAAGAACUUUCCCCAUUAGAGGUUCCGUGCUUCGCGCACAUUAAAAAAUCCUCUUCAGACACGAAAACUCAAGGACAAGGAGGUAUUUAUCAACUUGCUCAGCUGAAUUACCACCCCGGAGGAACCCGAAUGCACUGAUUCCGUUGUAUAGUAGAAUGAAAAUAGGCGAGGUAAGCGAACGUAAUCGCAUGAUAUUUUAAUGUUCGCAUUUUUAUCCGGAUCAUACAACUGCUAUGAAUACAUCCUCAAUCAAUCGGCGAGUGAGAAAGAUGAUUUCCCUCAUCACCACAUUGCUUAUUUCCACUUCUGUCACACCAGCCAACAGCAUCAGCUUUCCCGCAGCAGUAUCCUUUAAGUCCAGGCUGCUAUUCCGGGGAACAGCAUCAACAGCAACAGCAGCAGGACCUGCCCAUCGAUAGUAUUUCGAGCAAUUUUCCCCCUCGGAGAUCUCGUGCUUCACGCACAUUGAAGAAUCCUCCUCAGCCACAUAUCUGUGUCAUCAAGGGCAAGGAGGUAUUCAUCAAUGUAC